AGCGAAAUUAAAGUAGCGAAGUGAUUGAUGUCACACUGCCGAGAAAAGCUUCUAGUUAGGAUCAGACCACCCGUACCGCAAACCGACACAGGUAGUCGAGGCGAGUAGCCUAAGGUGAGCGAGAGAACUCUCGUUAAGGAACUCGGCAAAAUGACCCCGUAACUUCGGGAGAAGGGGUGCUGCACAAUGUGCAGCCGCAGUGAAUAGGCCCAGGCGACUGUUUAUCAAAAACACAGGUUUCUG
This 243-nucleotide ribosomal RNA is filed under the name Streptococcus danieliae. Its description in RNAcentral is "partial 23S ribosomal RNA". It matches the Rfam family "Bacterial large subunit ribosomal RNA", at positions 1570 to 1825 of the family's 2925-position model. Lineage: Bacteria; Bacillati; Bacillota; Bacilli; Lactobacillales; Streptococcaceae. The record is from RNAcentral.